RNAcentral lists this ribosomal RNA (325 nucleotides) under uncultured eukaryote. RNAcentral's name for it is "partial 18S ribosomal RNA". It matches the Rfam family "Eukaryotic small subunit ribosomal RNA", at positions 1470 to 1796 of the family's 1831-position model. The record is from RNAcentral.
CCCUUAGAUGUUCUGGGCCGCACGCGCGCUACACUGAUGCAUUCAACGAGCCUAUCCUUGACCGACAGGUCCGGGUAAUCUUUGAAUCUGCAUCGUGACGGGGAUAGAUUAUUGCAAUUAUUAAUCUUCAACGAGGAAUGCCUAGUAGGCGCAAGUCAUCAGCUUGCGUCGAUUACGUCCCUGCCCUUUGUACACACCGCCCGUCGCUCCUACCGAUUGGGUGUGCUGGUGAACUGUUCGGAUCGGCCGUUUGUCGCGGUUUCCGCGUCAUGUGGCUGAGAAGUUCAUUAAACCCUCCCACCUAGAGGAAGGAGAAGUCGUAACA